Molecule: unclassified non-coding RNA, 455 nt
Filed under: Hevea brasiliensis (rubber tree)
Lineage: Eukaryota; Viridiplantae; Streptophyta; Magnoliopsida; Malpighiales; Euphorbiaceae
Source: RNAcentral
CUGACAGCGUUGAUACAGAACAACGCAUUCAGCAACAAAUUAGCGAAUCCACAGAGAUGGUGAAGAAGAUCGAGCAACUCAAAAUUUCGCAGGGGAAGUUUUUGGGACAAGGUUUGACUUCUUGUUCUGUGGAAGAGCUCCAAGAGAUACACAACCAGCUAGAGAAAGGCUUAAGCAAUAUCAAAGAAAGGAAGGCUGAGUUGUUCAAGGAGAAGAUAGAGCAACUAAAAGCGCAGGAAAGGCUCUUGCUGGAAGAGAAUGCAAGUUUGCGUGUAAAGUGUGGUGAGAAGCCAUGGCCGCAUCCAACUCAACAGAAAGAAGCUGUGACAUACUUAAGCUUAAAUGGGAAGAAUUCAGAGGUGGAGACUGAAUUGUCCAUUGGUCUUCCAGAACCAAAAAUGCACUGUUUGUAGUGGUCAUUAAAAGCUUGUUCUUAUAUAAGAAAAAUUUGAUAA